Molecule: long non-coding RNA, 1406 nt
Filed under: Zostera marina
Lineage: Eukaryota; Viridiplantae; Streptophyta; Magnoliopsida; Alismatales; Zosteraceae
Description: long non-coding RNA (ZMAR_LNC000083)
Source: RNAcentral
UUAUCGUGGGUUGGAGUUCUGUAGAACCAUGUGAUAUUUAUUAGGUGUCUUCUAUUAUGUUUUUAUGUUUAGAUAAUGGCUUGUCAUGUCUUUACUCUUAUGAGUUAUGUUAAUGGUGCGUGGAAGAAUAAUUGCAGGAAUGUUAUCUAAAAUAUUUUCAGAAGAUCUUGAGGUCAGUUCUGGGUUUUGAGGAUUUUACACAGAUUUCCUUCAUGUUUAUCUUCUCAGAAGAUUUUAGAUUUUUGUGGGUUCGAUCGAGAUUUUAAUUGUGGUUAUUUCUUUCGGUAUUUUUAAGGGAUUUUAGAUUUCAAUUUUGGGUUGUUGUAGGAUUUUAUUUGUGUUUAUUCAGUACCAACAGAAGAUCUUAUAUUAGAAUUCUGGAUUUUUAGGGUUUAAUGGAUAGGGCAAAUGAGUGAUAAAUUAUAUUUAGCGAUAAGUAAGUAAAUAGUGGUGAUGUUAAACAGUUGAGAAUCUCAUAUUGGGUAGUGUUGUGGACCUGUGGUUAUAUUACUGAGCUGAAUUUAAACGGUUGAUUUCAUUUAGAUCAUUUUGUUGGUUUUGAUAUUUUUGAUUUUCAGCCUUCAUACCUUUGUUUUUUAGAUUUUUCGACUUUAGAUUUCGUGUUAGUUCACUCGGCUUUUCGGGUUUUGUUUUCCAUCUAGAUUUACUUUUAUUUUCAUGAUUAUUUAUGAGUUCCCUGAAGAAUCAUGGGUUGGGUAUUUAACAUCAUGUGUUUCUAAAUGGUGGUGAAAUAAAUAUAUCUUAAUUGUUUUUUUUUAGAUUUGACUAAAUGAUUCAUCAAGACAUAUUUUAUUUCUUUCUCUUAUAUUUUCUACAUUGGGUUGCAUGUGGGCUAGAUGCAUAAGGUAAGGGUUAUUGGGUUGAUGAGUGGGUGAUUUAUAAUAUGUGAUAAUUACAUUGCAGAAUAGUGAGUGGAUAACAUUGAUGGGAAGUGAAUUACAGUUAUAGUGUGAGUGUUAUGUAAUAGCGUAGAAUAUUGUGAUUCCCAUUGAUUUCCAUGAUUAUGAUUCUUUUUCUGUGAUGUGGCUAACGUUAAGGGACCUAUACUGAGUCGAUAAAAUAUUUGACUCACCCAUCCUUGUGUUCAUUGUGUGAUAGGAUGGAAAUAUGGAAUCAAUGAAAAGAGGCACGACAGUGAAGGGGCGAAGUUCAUUGCGUUUUUGUUUUGUUAAACCUUAUUUCUGAUAGAGAUUAUGGUUUAGGUGGAUUAUGAAACAUGCAUGUUAUUGGGGUAUUGGUACUCAAACUUAUGAACAUGUUCGACCUAUAUUGUGAUUGUUAUUAAAUGACUAUACUUACUCUCAUGUGUGAGUGCUUUUAUGUGACAUGAAUUAAGUAUUAGUCAUUGAAUCGUUAAUAUCCCAACGAGGGAUGUUUGUAGCGGC